CCUAGUGUUUCCUCAAUUUAGUGCAGUUUGAGUUUUAGAAACAAUUAUUAAUAGUAUCGUUUUAAGUUUCAUAAGGAUUAUCUGUUUAUUUGCUAAGUAAACAUUUUCAUUUAUGUUCUUGGCCAUAUUUUAACCUAUGUUGCUUUUAGGAUAUCAAUAAUCUACUUUGUUGCUAAGAAACGUGUAAAUAAACUUUAUUUCAAAGUUUUAACCCAAGUCUGUUGUGUUUUAUAGUUCAGUUAUUAACCUUAAGAGUCUGUUUUCUGUUGUAGGAUAAAAAUAGAAUAUUUCUAGAUGCUCUGCUCUCAGAAUAGUUAUAUUUAGCCAUUACUACAAUAAAAGCCAUAUAGAGGACAUUCCAAUGUAGUGUUUAUUUAAACAGUGUCACUAGUUUUAGUUUUGAAAAAUCAAUAGGCCUUAAAUCAUAGAUAUAUUUUCUUCUCAAGAAUUAUUAUUUAGUUAAUAAUCAAUACUUUAUAAAUGUGUUACAACUAUGUGCUAGAAACAUUGCUUAUAAACAUCUUAAAACACUAAAAAUGUAAUUUAAUUCAAUCAAACACUUGAAUUCAAAUUUCAAAUUUUAGUGUAAUGUUUGGAAUAGAUUCUUGUAACAACAUUAAAAACAUGACAUCUUAUAGUAUUGACUAUGAAAACCGAAGAUUUUCAAAAAACCAAAGGUCAAAAAUUGUUGAAAGUUUUAUAACAAACACAAUAGCAUGUUUGGGCCCAAUAGUUAUUCCUCCUUUACAUAUUUACAUCAUUUAUCAUUUCUGGAGACAGUACAGCAGACACGUUGAUAGACACUAUUGUACAUGCUCGUGCUGGGAUACAGUUUUCAAAGGAACAUACGAGUCAGGAAUAGCUUCGUAUAAACACGUCUAUUUCAACGCGACCCGGAACACAGGAAAAAUAUGGUCUCUGACUGCGCUGUGUGUGAUAGCUCUGUACGAGGCAGUGCGAAGGUUGGCUGUCUUGCUCCUCAACAACCGUCUUCGCCACUCCAUGCUGAUUCUCUUCCUUUCUUCCAUAUUUUCACAUUAUUAUUCUUGGUGGUCAUUUUUCAACUACUGGAACGACGACUUCUACUCUCAGUGGAAUCACCAACUUUUCUUUUCUCUAACGGAGUUGUUCUCAACACUAAUAGUCUUGCGAUUGGCUGAUUCUCGUGAGUCAGUCCGGCCGUUUAAAGUGCUACCAAUUGUAGCUGUGGCAGCAACGCACAUCGUAGCGUCUUCCUGGGACCAGUUCCUGGACAAUGUGGUCCGUGGUGAGGGCUCUGCCCACCAGGUUUUGAGAGAUGUCUGUUUUAUGGUGCCUGACAUCUUGCAUGUUGUGUUGCCUCUGUUGGAGCUCCUCUGCGUAUGCUCUCAUAGCCACAGCCUGCGCAGAGACUGUUUGCUGUUCUGCAUACUGCUCACUAUAGGUCUCGUCUUCAGCAUUUAUACCAACUCUGUUAAUGAUUGGUGAAAUGGUGGAAGGAUGUAUAGUAUCGUUCUAUUUUGUUUCGAAUCAGUUGCAUUCAUAAAUUAUUGUCAAUAAUACUGGUGGAAAAAAUUACUACCGCUAAGAUUUAACAAUGAAAAAACUAUGAAAAUAUAUUAGUAUACAGCUAUAACAUACACAGGCUAAUAUGGUAAUUUUUCAGAGUCAAAGUUAAACUUUUAAUAUAUGACUUAAAAGAAUAAAAAGACUCACAAAUGGACAAGAAAUAACUGUCAGUAGUCAUGUAUACACACACUAGCAAGGAAGAGGUUAUAACAAAGACUGGACUGUAUAGAUAGAUAAGGCAUAAGAAAACAUUUCAAAUUAGAAACCUGUGACUACUUAAUGGAGAAUGUAGAAAUACCACUCCUUAGUUCAGUGCCUAAGGUUGAUACUUUUGGACUGUUUCUUUUGUGAGUGUCAUAGGUAAAAACAGUCAUAGAAGAUAAUACAGUGUCUUCCUAAUGUUAAAUAGGAAAUUUUUAGGUACAUUUAUUUUUUUUCCACAUUCUAUUAAAAAAGUAACUGGACUGGCGUUGUUAUGUUGGACUUACAGCUUUGAGACCUAUAAUUUUUUAUAGUAGUUCCCUUCUGAUGCAAUGCCAUUUCCAUAAUUUGAAACAAAGUUUUGAAGUAACUUUUUUGAACAUCGUUUGUUCAACCCAUAGAAACAAACUCAUAUUGCUGUAAACAUUAUAAAAAAGUCCCUUGACAGAAAAACAGGAAAAAUAUGUUUUCCUCACUUUGCUGUAAUUUUGCUGAACUUUCUGGGUCUUUGAAUACUUAGAACUUUACACAUAGACAUGUAUACAACUAAUACACUCUUCACAGAGUACUCAUAUAAACUUUUAAUAUUAAAGUUUUGUUACAAGUUCAUCAAAGUUUUAAAAUGAAAUUGAACAAAAGUAGGCGGAAAAUGAUUAUUCCUGACAUGUUAAAAAUGCUAUGAAGAUGUUUUAGGAUGUGAAACAAUUGUUUCUUGACAGUAAUUACUGUAAUUACUGUCAAGAAACAAAUCAACAUAUUUUCAUCUAAAUACACAACUAAGAUUUAAGAAUGAGAAGGGUCUCUACCAAGCUUGUGCCUCACGUUCUGACUGUCUACAGACCAUUGAUAAACUAUCACAGGUUAGUGGGUCAUCUUGGAGCUUGGUUAAUGAAUUUUACCUGAAGAUCUAGGUAUGAGAAGGGUCUCUACCAAGCUUGCGCCUCACGUUCUUCAACAGAUCAUUGAUAAAAUAUCACAGGUUAGUGGGUCACAUUGGAGCUUGGUUAAUGAAUUUUACCUGAAGAUUUAGGAAUGAGAUGGGUCUCUACCAAGCUUGUGCCUCACGUUCUGACUGUCUACAGACCAUUGAUAAAAUAUCACAGGUUAGUGGGUCAUAUUGGAGCUUGGUUAAUGAAUUUUACCUGAAGAUUUAGGAAUGAGAUGGGUCUCUACCAAGCUUGUGCCUCACGUUCUGACUGUCUACAGACUAUUAAUAAAAUAUCACAGGUUAGUGGGUCAUCUUGGAGCUUGGUUAAUGAAUUUUACCUGAAGAUUUAGGAAUGAGAAGGGUCUCUACCAAGCUUGUGCCUCACGUUCUGACUGUCAACAGACCAUUGAUAAAAUAUCACAGGUUAGUGGGUCACAUUGGAGCUUGGUUAAUGAAUUUUACCUGAAGAUUUAGGAAUGAGAUGGGUCUCUACCAAGCUUGUGCCUCACGUUCUGACUGUCAACAGACCAUUGAUAAAUGUAUGUCAAUUUCUGACUGACAAUCAAAAAGAACUUCGAGUUCAAAAAUCUUGAGUUUUGAAAUAACAACUUGAAAUGAAUCCUGAUUUUCCGUCGAACGUCAUCAAUGGUGAUGAGUUAUGCUGCUACAGUUAUGACCAGAUACAAAGCAACAAUCAAGCCAAUGGAAGAUGGCAUUAUAUAAAAACAAGUUGUCAAGUCAAAUUAAUGCUUAUUUUCUUUUUUGAUGUGAGAGAGUUUGGGUAGUCAAUUGAGAGUUUCUUCUUCCAGGUCAGACUAUUAAUCAGGCAUUUUAUUUGGAAGUUUGAAGAAGAUUAUGCUGCAGUGUUUCUUGAAAAAAGACCUGAUUCGUGGCAGACUAGAGACUGGCUUUUCCAUCAUGACAUUGCAGCUGCACACACAGCUAUCUAUUUUACACACCUUACUUCCUGACCUAGCUCAAUAUGAUUUUUUGUAUUCCCAUGCAUGAAAAGGAACAUGAAUGAACUUAGAUUGAACAAUGUAGAUGACAUGAAGAAAAAAGUGAAGGUGCUGUCAACCAUUACCGAAGAUAAGUACAAACAUAUUUUUGAACAGUGGAAGCACCGAUUCGACAAAUGUAUAAAGUGUAAGGGAGAGUAAUUUGAAGGGGAUAAGGUAGUUAUAUAAAAAAAGUAAAAUACAUCUUUAAAAAAAUUAUUCUGGUUUUUUUGAGUACCCGCUUGUAUUGACAGAUUUAAAAUGAAUAUUAUUUAGCACUUUAUAAUAGCUGUUUAGUCAUAUCGUACAUUAGAAAUCGUGGACCACAUUUUUAUCCUUCUCGUGUUCUAAAACGGCACUCAUAUGGCUCUAUUUUCUGCUUGACAUAGUUUUAUUUAAAUAGUGUAUUAAUUAUGUACAAGUUACUUAUUUAUGUUAUGGAGUAAUAAGGUAAACACGGUGUUAUAUGAGGGUUUCACAAUUGUUAGAUAAGUUUUUACCAAUAAAAUACAUGUAAAAUACAAAUUAUUUGUUACAUUUUAUAGCUAAUUGUAUAGUUGUUCAAAGAUAUUAGGUAAAUAUAUUCUGAAACAAAUAAUUUUAACAAUACAUAAUUUUUUUAUUAAUAACAAUUACACAAUGCAAAACCAUUUUUAAAGAAAGAAAACAAUAUAUUUUUAUAUCAAAAGUACUUGCUCCAGGUGUACAAGGCAAAUGGAUUACUUGUUUUUAUAUAAAAUCCAUACUUUAAGUGAUACUUAAUUAAUUCUUAUCCAGUUACCUGUUCCACUAGGUUAGUUCCACAUUCCAGAUUCCAUUCCUUGUGCUUGUUCGAUUUGUGUGACCUGUGCUACACCCAAUUCUUGUACCUCUCGCAGUUAACCCAGUACUGAUGAUUUGUUUUCAUAAUGGGUGUUCAGUAUUUUAUUACAAUGUACGAGUAUCAUGUAUUAAUCGCUGAUCAGUAGUUGUAAGAAGGAAAAGACAAAAUUGUAGCCAUAAGGCUUCCAAGGGACCAAACUAUUCAGAAUGAUAAUUUUCUAAACAAUAAAUGUCACAACUUUAAUCGUGCACUUUAUACAGUAGGCCUAUGCUCAUUAAUUGUUAGCUUGAAAAAGCGUGUAUCUUUAUUUGAGCUGUAAGCAGGUAAUUUAAUGCUGUAGUAAAAUAUGGCUUUUAGCCUUUUUAUUGGCUUUUGUAAUUAACGCUAGAUCUGUGGAUUUAAAAAUGUUCAAAGUGGUUAAAUAUAUUUUCAGCAUUUUGGAAGUUUAUUAAAAAAAUCAACAUGCAUACUAUGUUAUACAAACGUUUAAUAUAGUUUUUCUGUACAAAUCUAGAUUACUGUUGUGUUGUAAAAUAAUGAAUGUAAAGAGUUCGUUUUGAGCUUCUUCUUCGCUGACUUCUUUUGGAUCUCUUAAGACGAACAUGACUCCAGAUUCCAAGAGUCAAGACUGUGACAGCACCAGAUUCCAGACACUGCAGUAAGAGAAAGGUGAACUGGAGCUAAACUCAACAUUUACAUUGAAUCAACCCUUCCCACCAUAGCUACAUUACGUGAAUGAAGUCAAAAUUACUUUUUACGGAAGAUUAAUGCACUUUUGUAUAACUUUGCAUCCUUAUUGUAUAAACCUACCAAUUAUUACUGUAACUCUUUUUAUAGCGUAGACACGAAAAGAAAAUAACCUUCCAAUGUUGUAAUUGGCCUGUCAAUAAAAUAUCCAUAUUAUAACCAAUAUAGCAAAUUAUUUGUGAUUUGGCGGUAAUAUUUUGUAUAUACCAAAGUAUUCUUUGUUUUAUUUUAGUAAGUACGAUCAUUCUAAUGUAUCUAGCCAGGUGAAAACUCAGUAUAUUAUGUCAUGGAAUCUCUUCUUUUGAUAGUUUUCAUGCAUCAACAUGAGAGCGUUAAUGACACAGAUCUAGGGUAAUCUGUUAGUUUUAUAAUUACAAUGACAACGCACUGUCCUCUCAUUCCAUUCGCCUAAUCAGCUAACCUCCUGUUAUUCCUAGUUCUUAGGCUUACAUGGCUGCUGUCUUAACUAAUAUCAAAGUCUUCGGGUUCACACCGAGUUGAAACAUUGCUUGUUAACGUAUGUUUAACCAAAACUAGUUUUGUACCAUGUAGUGUGAAUCAAAUGACUUUGGUGUUAGUUAACUCCAAUUAUCUCUAUGAAUACCUCGACUCUGUAUUGUUAAGGGCCUCUCUAUGUACUUUCCUUCUGUGCUCGUCGUCGUGUACUCAUGAAGCUCUGUGCCGCCACACGGGAUCUUAAAUAUUUAAGCCAUUGUUUUCUUUUUCACACUUUACUACCUUGUGUGCGAUAUUGGAACAUGUUUUAGACACGGGUAUGGCUAUUAAAUGUAUGAAUAUUUAAAACCUCCUCCAACUGUUCAUCUAUUCUCAUCCCAAGGAAAUUAACAGAACAGGUACAUGUUUAUCAAAAACCCCACAAAUACUUAAGGACCCAUGUGUAUGCACAGUGUUUCUACAGUUACAUAACAAUAAUUAUUAAAUGUUGCUCAGUGUAGUAUUAUUGUACAUUGGUUGAUGAACAGUAAUACCUCAUUUUGUGUAAAUAUUGACACAAAUAAAAAAAAAAAAAAAUUGACAACACUUUUAAUAUACAGUAGUAUUUAUGUAGAAAUUGUUUUAGCUCUACUUUAAAUUUAGUAUGAUAUAUUUUUUCUCUGUUAUAGUUGUGGUUUGCUCCCAAUUUUUUGAUAUUUAGGUAUUUUGGGUUUUUAAAUCCUCCUUUAGAUUGGCCUGUAUGUAUACUAACAAAUGUAACCAUCAAAAACUUAGUUUUGCCGUUACAAAAUAAAUAACAGAGAAAAAACAAAUAUAGAAAGUACCUACCAAUAUAGUAUUGUACAAACUUGUAAAAUAUUACCGUAUAUUGAUUCCUGUGUACAAUGGUAAUUCUAUUUUUGAUCACUAUGCAACUAAAAUGCUCCAUGGCAACCUGUCUAGCAUUCGUCCAUAAGGCUCCUUUUAUGUGACUCCUCUUGAGUCAAAAACUUUAGAUAACCGAAUUUGAAAAUUAAUCACAAACUAAUCAGUUAAACUGAAAUAACGGGAGAUACAUUAAAAUGAAGUUGGUUUACUUUUGGAUUUAGAUUUAUAACACAAAUUAUUAUUAACAAACAAUAACUUCUGGUUUUUAUUUUGAUAACAACAAAAAGUUACCAGUUUUUUUGUGCUUUUAACCAAACUGCAACUUGAUUUCGGAAAUUCAUAACUUGUAAGUAUGAAAUUCUAAAAUUUCAUACUCGUAAGUAGUACUUUUAUAAGAGGUUGGUCGUAUUAGGUUAACAAGUUUCUGAGGGAUGAAUUUUGAAGUUGCAGUUUCAUUGAAAAGUACCUAAAAAAGUAAUACCUUUUUCGCUUUUAUCAAAAUAAAAACUAGGAACCGAGAGUAGCUUCAAUGUACUCUACUACUAUUGGCCAUAGUGAGCUUUACACAUGAACAGUUCAUAAUUUGUGUCACAUGUCUACCUCUCAGUUCAUAAUUUGUGUCACGUGACUACCUCUCAGUUCAUAAUUUGUGUCAUGUGACUACCUCUCAGUUCAUAAUUUGUGUCACGUGUCUACCUCUCUGUUCAUAAUUUGUGUCACGUGACUACCUCUCAGUUCAUAAUUUGUGUCACGUGUCUACCUCUCAGUUCAUAAUUUGUGUCAUGUGACUACCUCUCAGUUCAUAAUUUGUGUCAUGUGGCUACCUCUCUGUUCAUAAUUUGUGUCAUGUGACUACCUCUCAGUUCAUAAUUUGUGUCAUGUGGCUACCUCUCAGUUCAUAAUUUGUGUCACGUGACUAUCUCUCAGUUCAUAAUUUUUGUCAUGUGGCUACCUCUCUGUUUAUAAUUAAUGGCAUGUGGUUACCUCUCAAAUCCCAUUUCAUGUAGAGAAACUGGUGGCUACAUACAAGUUUUUUUACACAGUACAGUUUUGGUCGCAUGGUACUGGUCUAGAUUAGUUUUUAAGUUAUUGGGCUUAUUUUUUGAGAGCCACAAGCAUAUUUUUUUAUAAGUCUUAUCUUAAUGAAACAGUGAAUGUUUUAACUGGCCGAAUACAGGAUUACUCAUGUAGGUGUCCUAUCAGAGCAACCUAUCACUGAGAUGAGUGCUCAGAUCUUCAUACUAUGAAGUUGACAAAUGGAGUAGCUGAAAAAGUUCCCUUUGUCUUUCUUGCAGUCUUUUCCUAAAAUAUGGAAACAACAUUAAUUUGUUAUUGUUAGAGACAGCGAAUGCAAACAUUUCUUUUAAAAUAGUGUUCAACAGAUAAGGCACAAUAAAUUUAAACUGAAGAGCUAAAUAACUGCACAUGAAGGCUGUAUUGCAUGUAAAGGUUAUAAAAAGAGAAUGGCAGCAACCCUGUCAUGUGAAAGAGAUCAUAGAAAUAAGUUUUCACCUUUACCAAGCUUGAUGUUUGAGAUGGAAUCUGUUAAAGAUUCUAUGUAUCUGAACAAUGUCAAAGCUUUCACUGGUGUUCUGAUUUACAAGUACCUCACACUAAUGUGUAUUCUGUGUCAGUUACAAAAUCUAUAUAUUUUUAAAAAUAUUGUAAAUGAUGUAUAUAUUGCUGACUUUAUGGUAGUAGGUUAAAUAUAUUGUUUUGGUGCUUGUUGUAACUGCAUAAUUGCAAUCUGUGUAUUUUAUUCUUAUCUUUAUUUUUCUGAAUAUAUUGAUAUCUUAUGUCGAUCUUAGUUCUAAGAAUUACGAGGCCGAUGUCAUCACUAACAUCGAAGUUGUCCGGUUCACGCUGCAGUAAACAUUGCUUAUCAGAGGUGUGCAAGGGUGAGGCGGUGGUCAGACUGGGUGCCAACUUUAAGGGGGGAGGCGGUGGUCAGACUGGGUGCCAACUUUAAGGGGGGAGGCGGUGGUCAGACUGGGUGCCAACUUCAAGGGUGAGGCGGUAGUCAGACUGGGUGCCAACUUUAAGGGGGGAGGCGGUGGUCAGACUGGGUGCCAACUUUAAGGGGGGAGGCGGUGGUCAGACUGGGUGCCAACUUUAAGGGGGGAGGCGGUGGUCAGACUGGGUGCCAACUUCAAGGGUGGGGCGGUGGUCAGACUGGGUGCCAACUUCAAGGGUGGGGCGGUGGUCAGACUGGGUGCCAACUUCAAGGGUGAGGCGGUGGUCAGACUGGGUGCCAACUUCAAGGGGGAGGCGGUGGUCAGACUGGGUGCCAACUGCAAUAUUAUUUACAUGUGAAGAUAAAGUUGCAACUUACCCCUUUUGAAAGGUUAUCUGCCAGGCCUGUUGGCUACUCAAUCCGCUGCGGUGGCGCAACAUCUACCCUGAAAGGUGGCCUCUAUGCUUUAGGAAACCGCUAUCCUACCCUGGGCUUUCCUACUUUUACUCUAAGUGUGGCCUCUCUGUGCUAUACAGGCACCGCUAUCCUACCAUGGGCUUUACUCAUUUUACUCUCAAUGUAGCCUCUCUAUGCUAUACAGGCACCGCUAUCCUAUCCUGGGCUUUAUUCCAAUUGCAGAAAGCUGUGCCAGUAGGUAUGUGUAUAAUUAGAUGUUCAAAAGUGUUCAGUUCAGUAAAGUGGUUCUUUCCAACAUAUCAAAUCUUUGUUUUGAUUGCUAUUUUUUCAUAUUAUUAUAUAAUUAAAUUUUGAGCAUUAUGAGUUAAUUUAAAAAAACUACUUUUAUCAUAACUAUUUUAGAUUAUCUUAAGGAUAAUAAUUGACAAUUUCAUAACACAAAAUUCCACUCUUUAAAUUCCUUACUCGUCCAUGUAAUAUUUUUAUAAUUAAAUUAAAUUUAGAUUACCCCUGACCAGUUACAGUGGGAAGUUAACGUGUAUCUGGUUAGUCUGUAGCAUUUUCAAAAUCUUCCGUGUUUAUAUUUUUAUUCAAGUAUAUGUUUUUAGGAAUAAAAUGCAGAAAACACUUUAAUAAGUAUUUAUGAUUUCAAAGCAUUUUAAAGAUACAUGCCAAAUCUGAUAGGAAUAUAGUUUAGCUGUUUAAAUAAAAACUGCUGUUAUGUUUUUAUGAAUGAAUUAACUAUUUAUUCGAAAUUUUUCUGGAUGUUCGCUUUUUCAGGAAAUGUAUCCACAAACUUUUUAGUGCUCUAGCAAAUUGUAAUUGUGUUCUUCUUUGACUUUUCAAGUGUGCAGGUAAACUUAUGUUUUACAUUUAGACUUCCAACUUGGUAAAUUUAAAUAAUAGUUUUAUUUUACUUUAGGCGUGAUUGUUUACAUGUGUACCCUCGAUAAUGAAACAGAAUGCCGCCCUGGGUGCUAGAUAUCCUGGGCAUGCCACUGUUGUUUAUACAUUCAUGUUCUUGGAAUAUUUUGGCUCAGUCCCUUCAGCACAUCCAUACAGACUAGUGCUUAUUUUUGUCUGAAGAUGGAUCUCUACAGCGAGACCGAAAUAUUUCAAGAAUGUGAUUGUGUAAGUGAUGUUUAUAUAAGGUGUUAACUGGAAGAUUUUGAUGUUAAGAAGCCUCUAAUGUUGAUGUUUAAUAUUAGUAGAUAAUACCAUACUCUUUGAUUGUCAUCGAUGGUUGGUUUUUAAAAUUAUAUUGGUUUAAUGUUUUA
RNAcentral lists this unclassified non-coding RNA (10216 nucleotides) under Homalodisca vitripennis (glassy-winged sharpshooter). Its description in RNAcentral is "uncharacterized LOC124369988, transcript variant X1". The record is from RNAcentral. Lineage: Eukaryota; Metazoa; Arthropoda; Insecta; Hemiptera; Cicadellidae.